GCCUGGGUGGCUUAGUCAGUUGAGCGCCUGGCUUCAGCUCAGGUCAUGAUCUCACGGUUCGUGAGUUCAAGCCCCACAUCAGGCU
Molecule: transfer RNA, 85 nt
Organism: Felis catus (domestic cat)
Lineage: Eukaryota; Metazoa; Chordata; Mammalia; Carnivora; Felidae
Rfam family: tRNA
About the family: Transfer RNA (tRNA) molecules are approximately 80 nucleotides in length.
Source: Rfam